RNAcentral lists this ribosomal RNA (801 nucleotides) under uncultured bacterium. RNAcentral describes it as "bacterial SSU rRNA". It matches the Rfam family "Bacterial small subunit ribosomal RNA", at positions 68 to 895 of the family's 1533-position model. The record is from RNAcentral.
GAUUCUCUUCGGAGAAGAGCGGCGGACGGGUGAGUAACGCGUGGGUAACCUGCCCUGUACACACGGAUAACAUACCGAAAGGUAUGCUAAUACGAGAUAACAUGUUUUGAUCGCAUGGUCGAAAUAUCAAAGCUCCGGCGGUACAGGACGGACCCGCGUCUGAUUAGCUAGUUGGUAAGGUAAUGGCUUACCAAGGCGACGAUCAGUAGCCGACCUGAGAGGGUGAUCGGCCACAUUGGAACUGAGACACGGUCCAAACUCCUACGGGAGGCAGCAGUGGGGAAUAUUGCACAAUGGGCGAAAGCCUGAUGCGGCAACGCCGCGUGAGCGAUGAAGGCCUUCGGGUCGUAAAGCUCUGUCCUCAAGGAAGAUAAUGACGGUACUUGAGGAGGAAGCCCUGGCUAACUACGUGCCAGCAGCCGCGGUAAUACGGAGGGGGCGAGCGUUGUUCGGAAUUACUGGGCGUAAAGGGCGUGUAGGCGGCCAUGUCAGUCAGACGUGAAAGCCCUCGGCUUAACCGAGGAAUUGCGUUUGAUACUGCGUGGCUUGAGUGUGGGAGGGGAGAGUGGAAUUCCCAGUGUAGCGGUGAAAUGCGUAGAUAUUGGGAGGAACACCAGUGGCGAAGGCGGCUCUCUGGACCACAACUGACGCUAAGGCGCGAAAGCGUGGGGAGCGAACGGGAUUAGAUACCCCGGUAGUCCACGCUGUAAGCGAUGGGCACUAGGUGUAGCGGGUAUAGACACCUGCUGUGCCGCAGCUAACGCAUUAAGUGCCCCGCCUGGGGAGUACGGUCGCAAGAUU